This 2343-nucleotide long non-coding RNA is filed under the name Salmo salar (Atlantic salmon). RNAcentral's name for it is "lncRNA (ENSSSAG00000083182.1)". The record is from RNAcentral. Lineage: Eukaryota; Metazoa; Chordata; Actinopteri; Salmoniformes; Salmonidae.
GAGGAUAGAUAGGAUAGAGGAUAGAUAUAGAGAAGAUAGAUUGGAUAGAGAUAGAUAGGAUAGAUAGAGGAUAGAUAUAGAGAAGAUAGAUAUAGAGAAGAUAGGAGAGAUUGAGAGGAUAGAGAUAGAGAGGAUAGAUAGAGAGGAUAGAGAUAGAGAGGAUAGAUAUAGAGAGGAUAGAGAGGAUAGAUAUAGAGAUGAUAGAGAGGAUAGAUAUAGAGAGGAUAGAUAUAGAGAGGAUAGAGAGGAUAGAUAUAGAGAGGAUAGAUAUAGAGAGGAUAGAGAGGAUAGAUACAGAGAGGAUAGAUAUAGAGAGGAUAGAUAUAGAGAGGAUAGAGAGGAUAGAUAUUGAGAGGAUAGAUAUAGAGAGGAUAGAUAUAGAGAGGAUAGAUAGGAUAGAGAUUGACAGGAUAGAGAUAGAGAGGAUAGAUAUAGAGAGGAUAGAUAUGAUAGAGAUAGAGAGGAUAGAGAUAGAGAGGAUAGAUAUAGAGAGGAUAGGGAUAGAGAGGAUAGAGAUAGAGUGGAUAGAGAUUGAGAGGAUAGAGAUAGAUAGGAAAGAGAUAGAGGAUAGAUAGAUAGGAAAGAGAUAGAUAGGAUAGAUAUAGAGAGGAUAGAGAUAGAGAGGAUAGAUAUAGAGAGGAUAGAUAUAGAGAGGAUAGAGAUAGAGAGGAUAGACAUAGAGAGGAUAGAUAGGAUAGAGAUUGAGAGGAUAGAUAUAGAGAGGCUAGAGAUAGAGAGGAUAGAGAUAGAGAGGAUAGAUAGGAGUGUGAGUUGAAGUAACAGUGGGACAGAUUCCAACCCAUGCCAGCUCUGGUAUAUGUGUGCUGGGCCUGCAGCGCUAACCGGGCUUCCUUCUGUUCAUGCUUUGUCGGCUACGCACCUUUUAAAAGGCAAUGUUCCCGUGUUUGGGGAGACAGCAUUCAUGGAAAACUCGGAAAUAACCUCGAAACAGUGCAUACCAGACAACGCGUGAUGGGAUUGAACCCUGGCCUUAAUCCUGGGGACCCAAAGGGGCUGGUUUUGCAUUAACACACCUAAUUCAUCUCAUCAACUCAUCAACAAACCUUUUAUUAGCGGAAUCAGGUAUGUCGUGCCGGGGAAAAAACAAAUAAAGCACCUCUUUGGGUCCCGAGGACCAGGAUUAAGGGCAUCUGUUUGCAUUUGCAAAUCUCAAAGUAACUCCAUCUACGGACUUCUAUGUUAAUCUCAAAGUAACUCCCUCUACGUAGUUCUAUGUUAAUCUCAAAGUAAUCCCUCUAUGUAGUUCUAUGUUCAUCUCAAGGUAACUCCCUCUAUGUAGUUCUAUGUUAAUCUCAAGGUAACUCCCUCUAUGUAUUUGUAGGUUAAUCUCAAGGUAAUCCCUCUAUGUAUUUGUAGGUUAAUCUCAAGGUAAUCCCUCUAUGUAUUUGUAGGUUCAUCUCAAGGUAAUCCCUCUAUGUAUUUGUAGGUUCAUCUCAAGGUAAUCCCUCUAUGUAUUUGUAGGUUCAUCUCAAGGUAAUCCCUCUAUGUAUUUGUAGGUCAACCACAAGGUAAUCCCUCUAUGUAGUUCUAUGUUAAUCUCAAGGUAACUCCCUCUAUGAAAGUAGUCCAGCCAAUUGAAAAACAGAAAACAACACACAUUAGUAUGGUCAGAAAAUAUAGAUUAUAUUGUUUUUUCCUCUGCAAUUAAACAACAACAACAACAAAUAAAACAGCAGUUUUUCUCACCCAGUAGGAAGGUAGACUGGCACCCUAUUCCCUUCACAGUGCACUACUUUUGACCAGGACCCAUAGGACUUUGUUUAAACGUAGUGCACUAUGAAAAUAGGCUGCCAUUUGGGACUAACCGGUAUUCGCAGACAAACACACACACACACACACACACACACACACACACACACACACACACACACACACACACACCAUACAUACAAGGUGAUACGGACAAUAAAACAUUUCAUGAGAUUACAAACAAUUUACCAACUAUAAAAGGGAUCACAUUUAGGAUAGUAUUAUUACCCCCCAAAAAACGUAAUCUAGUUCUAGUCAUCUCUCCCCAAUAAGUGAUAAUAAUUUAUAUAACAGAGUUGGUGCUAUACACACAGUCUCUUUAAGAACAGGGUCAGUCCUUUCUCCGGUUACUUUCCCAUAAUUCCCCUUGGUUUUCCAGAAAUUCACAGAUUUCCUGCUUAAUCCCUCGUAAUUCCAGGAAUCUUCUAACCAGGAAUUAUGGGCAAAUUACAGGAAUUUUUGCAACUAUGUUUUAACAGAGACAUAUACCCAAUUGAUACUUACAGGAAUCAACAGCGAACAAGGACUAGCCUGGACACCAGUCUGCUUCUGCUCUCCUUCCUUAUGGAAAUG